This 585-nucleotide ribosomal RNA is filed under the name uncultured bacterium. RNAcentral describes it as "partial 16S ribosomal RNA". It matches the Rfam family "Bacterial small subunit ribosomal RNA", at positions 355 to 1375 of the family's 1533-position model. The record is from RNAcentral.
UGGGGAAUUUUGGACAAUGGGCGAAAGCCUGAUCCAGCAAUGCCGCGUGUGUGAGGAAGGCCUUCGGGUUGUAAAGCACUUUUGUCCGGAAAGAAAUCCUCUGGGUUAAUACCUCGGGGGGAUGACGGUACCGGAAGAAUAAGCACCGGCUAACUACGUGCCAGCAGCCGCGGUAAUACGUAGGGUGCAAGCGUUAAUCGGAAUUACUGGGCGUAAAGCGUGCGCAGGCGGUUUUGUAAGACGGAUGUGAAAUCCCCGGGCUUAACCUGGGAACUGCAUUCGUGACUGCAAGGCUAGAGUAUGGCAGAGGGGGGUAGAAUUCCACGUGUAGCAGUGAAAUGCGUAGAGAUGUGGAGGAAUACCGAUGGCGAAGGCAGCCCCCUGGGCCAAUACUGACGCUCAUGCACGAAAGCGUGGGGAGCAAACAGGAUUAGAUACCCUGGUAGUCCACGCCCUAAACGAUGUCAACUAGUUGUUGGGGAUUCAUUUCCUUAGUAACGUAGCUAACGCGUGAAGUUGACCGCCUGGGGAGUACGGUCGCAAGAUUAAAACUUAAAUGAAUUGACGGGGUCAUAGCUGUUUCCU